Molecule: ribosomal RNA, 253 nt
Filed under: uncultured bacterium
Lineage: Bacteria
Description: partial 16S ribosomal RNA
Rfam family: Bacterial small subunit ribosomal RNA
Source: RNAcentral
UACGUAGGUGGCGAGCGUUGUCCGGAUUUAUUGGGCGUAAAGGGCGCGCAGGUGGUGUGGUGGGUCCGUCGUGAAAUCUCCUGGCUCAACUGGGAGGGUGCGGCGGAGACUGCCAGACUGGAGGCACUCAGAGGCCGGUGGAAUUCCCGGUGUAGUGGUGAAAUGCGUAGAGAUCGGGAGGAACACCAGUGGCGAAGGCGGCCGGCUGGGCCGACCCUGACGCUGAGGCGCGAAGGCGUGGGGAGCGAACGGG